Molecule: long non-coding RNA, 1635 nt
Organism: Ornithodoros turicata
Lineage: Eukaryota; Metazoa; Arthropoda; Arachnida; Ixodida; Argasidae
Exons: 2
Source: RefSeq, a predicted model, not a curated record
UCGUCGAUAUGACGAACGACUCUGUAUCGGAGAGCGGUGCAUUGUGGUGAAGCAAGAACCACGGCAAUGAGCAUGGAUCGUCCGAUCAUUAUUCUUCCAACGAAAUGCAAAUAUUUAUGCACUAUGCGCCAUUUCCGCCGUCGUGGAAACGUAUUUGGAGUCAAAUAAAGGUCAUAGUCCGAGGCAUGUACGCCAUUCUCAUCGUUACCGCCGUCCCCGUUCAAAGUAAUCACCCUCUUUUCGGUGCUUACUUUUCAGCGCAAAAAGUAAGAUACUACGUCACUGCCUACGUCAAAAUGACGUACCUCAACAUGAUCCCGUGAGCUAGGGAAAAUCUAGGGACAGCGAGGGGACAACUUCAACGAGCAAUGUUCUUCAUAGAAGCACGGUAUUGGGUGUGGCGCCACUUUUUGACUGUAAAAAAGACAGCGGCGGCGGCAGCCCGCCGUCAAACAUGUCACGUCAAAACUGCCAGAGCUCCGUUCAUGAGAGAUAUUCCAUAGCAACUACAAUAUCAGGACGUCAUAAUUAUUCCUGCACGUUUAAACCGAUGUACUAUUGUUUCUCCUUUUUUCCGAUACAACCCAUUUAAAUCCGGUACACAGCGCCACUGUAGGUCUAAGCUGUGAUGCUCUACACGCUGUGUAUGCGCUGGGGAUAAAUGUCCCUAGAAAUGGGCGGAUCGUUCAGGCGGAGCUUGUCGCGGUGGCUCAACCCAACAGCUCGUGACGUGUAAAGUAAGCAGGUAGCUUACUUUGACGAGAAUAGCUCCCCUGGUAGCUGCACCUCUGCUUUCGAAAGAUGAAACAGUCUUUCCAUGUUGUGCUUACUGGCUUUGUAUAGAGUCUGGCAAAUCCGACAGACUUGGACUGCCUUUUGCAAGAAAGUUUGAAAUAUCAUCCCUUAUGCACCUGCAUUUCAAUUCCAAUCUGUAUUACAAGAAUGACAGACCACUCAACAGAGAUGAACAUCUGAAAGUGAAAGAGCUGGAACGAAGAUACGUUAAUCUGUGUGAAAGGUGCUUAGUGUGUGUGUGAGUCGAGGACAUAGGUCUCAAGCUGAUUCCUGUCUUCAGAAGAGGUGACAACUAUGCUCCUUCUAUCUAUUAACCAGCUCCACUUUUUAGGGUUCCCUGUAAACUAAUGGAGCACAUCAUGUACUACCACGUUGUCAACCAAGUUGAGUCUGUCGAUUUCUUUUUUUAAAUUCCAGCAUGGCUUUAGAAAAGGGUAUUCAGGCAAAACUAACGUAGUGUAAUUCGUUCACAGCAUUUUGAACUGUCUUGAUUUCUGGGUCCACGUAGAUGUAGUAUUUUUUUAUUUUGUAAGGGCUUUUGACACUGUGCUGUAUGCUCGCGUGGUGGCCAAAGUAGCCUAAUUAAAAUUUGAUCCUGCUACCAUUAAUGGGAUAUGCAGUUUCUUGACUAACCGCAACCGUGCUGCCAACAAUUUGUGAGGAGAACCUAUCAUAUCGCCACCAUGCAGCGUUUGUCACGUUACAUUUGCAUCACAUUUUAAUGUAGUCAAAAGCAAGGCCUUUUGGUGAUCGGUCUUGUAUGAUUACAUGCCCCUCCGUUAUGUAACCCCACACUGGGUUCUUCAACCUAUGAGAGAUAAAUAAAUAUAUUUCCAAGUA